Molecule: ribosomal RNA, 114 nt
Filed under: Microcaldota archaeon
Lineage: Archaea; Nanobdellati; Microcaldota
Source: RNAcentral
UCAAACGGCCAUAGGAACGGGGAAACGCCCAAACACAUACCGAACUUGGAAGCUAAGCCUGUUCACGAUAUGCAAUACUGCCCUAACGGGUGGGAAAGCAUAUUGCUGUUUGGC